AGGGUUUGAUUAUGGCUCAGGACGAACGCUGGCGGCGUGCUUAACACAUGCAAGUCGAGCGGAGACAGAAGACUUCGGUUUUCUGUUUUAGCGGCGGACGGGUGAGUAACGCGUGAGCAAUCUGUCCCAGACAGGGGGAUAACACUCGGAAACAGGUGCUAGUACCGCAUAAGACCACGAGAUCACAUGGUUUCGGGGUAAAAGGAGGAAUCCGGUUUGGGGUGAGCUCGCGUCCGAUUAGCUGGUUGGUGAGGUAACGGCCCACCAAGGCGACGAUCGGUAGCCGACCUGAGAGGGUGAUCGGCCACAUUGGAACUGAGAAACGGUCCAA
RNAcentral lists this ribosomal RNA (331 nucleotides) under uncultured bacterium. RNAcentral's name for it is "bacterial SSU rRNA". It matches the Rfam family "Bacterial small subunit ribosomal RNA", at positions 8 to 334 of the family's 1533-position model. The record is from RNAcentral.